AAGAAACUGGAUAUCUAAUUAUUUCAAGAAACAACAAAGGAUCCUUGAAGGUUGUUUGGUCUUUUCCUCCAUUCGAAUCAAGGUUAAAGUGACCACAUGGCACUUUUUAAAGCCUUUGAAGGAUAGAAGGAUGCAAACCAUAAUGAAAGGAGUCCUGUCACUUUGCAAAUGAC
This is a long non-coding RNA of Quercus lobata, 173 nucleotides long. RefSeq lists it as uncharacterized. The record is from RefSeq and is a predicted model, not a curated record. Lineage: Eukaryota; Viridiplantae; Streptophyta; Magnoliopsida; Fagales; Fagaceae. The transcript is spliced from 3 exons.